RNAcentral lists this ribosomal RNA (688 nucleotides) under Bacillus sp. (in: firmicutes). RNAcentral's name for it is "bacterial SSU rRNA". It matches the Rfam family "Bacterial small subunit ribosomal RNA", at positions 51 to 722 of the family's 1533-position model. The record is from RNAcentral. Lineage: Bacteria; Bacillati; Bacillota; Bacilli; Caryophanales; Bacillaceae.
AUAAUGCAGUCGAGCGAUGGAUUAAGAGCUUGCUCUUAUGAAGUUAGCGGCGGACGGGUGAGUAACACGUGGGUAACCUGCCCAUAAGACUGGGAUAACUCCGGGAAACCGGGGCUAAUACCGGAUAACAUUUUGAACCGCAUGGUUCGAAAUUGAAAGGCGGCUUCGGCUGUCACUUAUGGAUGGACCCGCGUCGCAUUAGCUAGUUGGUGAGGUAACGGCUCACCAAGGCAACGAUGCGUAGCCGACCUGAGAGGGUGAUCGGCCACACUGGGACUGAGACACGGCCCAGACUCCUACGGGAGGCAGCAGUAGGGAAUCUUCCGCAAUGGACGAAAGUCUGACGGAGCAACGCCGCGUGAGUGAUGAAGGCUUUCGGGUCGUAAAACUCUGUUGUUAGGGAAGAACAAGUGCUAGUUGAAUAAGCUGGCACCUUGACGGUACCUAACCAGAAAGCCACGGCUAACUACGUGCCAGCAGCCGCGGUAAUACGUAGGUGGCAAGCGUUAUCCGGAAUUAUUGGGCGUAAAGCGCGCGCAGGUGGUUUCUUAAGUCUGAUGUGAAAGCCCACGGCUCAACCGUGGAGGGUCAUUGGAAACUGGGAGACUUGAGUGCAGAAGAGGAAAGUGGAAUUCCAUGUGUAGCGGUGAAAUGCGUAGAGAUAUGGAGGAACACCAGUGGCGAAAGC